UUGACCUAGUUGUUAUGACCUGGUUGUAUUAUUAUUAUUUUUAUUAUUAUUUUUAUUUUCUUCUUUUUUCUUAAUUUUCUUUUUUCAUCUUCUUUUUCUUUUCCUUUUCUCUUCAACAAAGUGAGGACAUUCUUUCCUGAUUUAUACCAUAAGUUGCUGGGUAUCAUGUGCUUGAAGAUACCCUAAACUUAACCUAACCUAACCUAUCCUAACAAAAACCCAAACAGUUACUAUAGGGCUUGACUCAGAAAAUUCAUAUAUGCUUCCUUAGUAUCCUUACUAAUGAGACUUUCUAUACAAUAAAUGGAGGUCAUUUUUUGUUGAUUUAUACCAUAAGGUGCUGGCUAUCAUGUGCUUGAAGAUACCCUAAACUUAACCUAACCUAACCUAACAAGACCCGAGACAGUUACUAUAGGUCUUGACUCAGAAAACUCAUAUAUGCUUCCUUAGUUAUGAGACUUUCUAUACAACAAAGUGAGGUUCUUCUUUCUUGAUUUAUACCAUAAGGUGCUGGCUAUCAGGUGUUUGAAGAUACCCUACACUUAACCUAACCUAACCUAACAAAACCCCAAACAGUUACUAUAGGUCUUGACUCAGAAAACUCAUAUAUGCUUCCUUAGUUAUGAGACUUUCUAUACAACAAAGUGAGGUCAUUCUUUGUUGAUUUAUACCAUAAGGUGCUGGCUAUCAUGUGUUUGAAGAUACCCUAAACUUAACCUAACCUAACCUAACAAAACCCCAAACAGUUACUAUAGGUCUUGACUCAGAAAACUCAUAUAUGCUUCCUUAGUUAUGAGACUUUCUAUACAACAAAGUGAGGUCAUUCUUUGUUGAUUUAUACCAUAAGGUGCUGGCUAUCAUGUGUUUGAAGAUACCCUAAACUUAACCUAACCUAACCUAACAAAACCCCAAACAGUUACUAUAGGUCUUGACUCAGAAAACUCAUAUAUGCUUCCUUAGUUAUGAGACUUUCUAUACAACAAAGUGAGGUCAUUCUUUGUUGAUUUAUACCAUAAGGUGCUGGCUAUCUUGUGUUUGAAGAUACCCUAAACUUAACCUAACCUAACCUAACAAAACCCCAAACAGUUACUAUAGGUCUUGACUCAGAAAAUUCAAAUAUGUUUCCUUACUAAUGAGACUUUCUAUACAACAAAGUGAGGUCAUUCUUUGUUGAUUUAUACCAUAAGGUGCUAGCUAUCAUGUGCUUGAAGAUACCCUAAACUUAACCUAACCUAACCUAACAAAACUCCAAACAGUUACUAUAGGUCUUGACUCAGAAAAUUCAAAUAUGCUUCCUUACUAAUGAGACUUUCUAUACAACAAAGUGAGGUCAUUCUUUGUUGAUUUAUACCAUAAGGUGCUGGCUAUCAUGUGUUUGAAGAUACCCUAAACUUAACCUAACCUAACCUAACAAAACCCCCAAACAAUUGCUAUAGGUCUAGACUCAGAAAAUUCAUAUAUGUUGCCUUACAAAUGAGACUUUCUAUACAACAAAGUGAGGUCA
Molecule: long non-coding RNA, 1504 nt
Organism: Eriocheir sinensis (Chinese mitten crab)
Lineage: Eukaryota; Metazoa; Arthropoda; Malacostraca; Decapoda; Varunidae
Exons: 3
Source: RefSeq, a predicted model, not a curated record